Molecule: transfer RNA, 99 nt
Filed under: Xylaria arbuscula
Lineage: Eukaryota; Fungi; Ascomycota; Sordariomycetes; Xylariales; Xylariaceae
Description: tRNA-Leu
Rfam family: tRNA
About the family: Transfer RNA (tRNA) molecules are approximately 80 nucleotides in length. Their secondary structure includes four short double-helical elements and three loops (D, anti-codon, and T loops).
Source: RNAcentral
GGUGUGAUGGCCGAGUGGUUAAGGCGACAGACUUAAGUGAUAUCAUUCAUAUAACUUCUGUUGGAGAGAUCCGCGCGAGUUCGAACCUCGUUCACACCA